Molecule: non-coding RNA, 842 nt
Organism: Pelodiscus sinensis (Chinese soft-shelled turtle)
Lineage: Eukaryota; Metazoa; Chordata; Testudines; Trionychidae
Source: RefSeq, a predicted model, not a curated record
UGCCUGUUGGAACUGGGAGGUAGCAGGUUGCUUUCUAUAGGCACAGCAUGAGGCACAUCUGCAAGUAUAUGGCUGAGCAGAACUUACUACAGCAGAUGCCUGGUACCUUGUAUGGUGCUGCUCUUCCAGGACAGAGGCUGGAAUACUCAGCAGAGAACACACAUCAAUUCUGGUGGAAAGCGGAGAUACCUACAGGCAAUAGUUAUGGAAGAUCUGAGCUCAUCCAUUUCCACUUGCCUGUUGUCAAGGCUCCAUAGAAGAAUGAUAGCAUAGAUCUGUUUUCUGCUGUAGGCUAGGUCCCUCAUCUGCCAUGCUAGAAGAACUUCUCUGUAAUAUACUAGAUUAACUUUCCCUUUACCACUUUGACACACAUAAGUGGUAAUCUAUAAUGUAGAUUGAACUGCAAUUUAUGCAUCCCCAAAAGGGGAAUAUACUGCAUUAAAUAGUUAUUGGCCUCUUCUGUGCCUUUUAUUCCUGCAGAUGGCUGAGCUCUCACUGAGGAAGGGAGAGGGAUUUUGCUGAGGUUUGUGGUUUAUUUGCAAGCCUGCUCCCUUCUGCACCAUAGAACAGUGGAGACCAUAAGCUCAUCCACACCAGCUGUGAGUGCAGGAUGCACCACCCUGCCCAGGACAUCCUCCUGCACUCGGGCCAACAGGCUCACCUGGAACCAGGAAGAGUGCCAGAGGCAACACCUGGGAUUACUGCGAAGGCAGGUCCACAACCAGGAGCAGUGGGUGCAUGAAGACCUGCAGCUGUGGCAGGAGAGCUUGCAGGAGCUGCUUGACCAGGGAGGUGCCAUCCACGGCCACCUGCAGACCCUGGUGCAGAGACUGCUGCCUGCU